UGAUACCGAAGAAUGCCUCCAACUGAAAGAUAAGAUCAAGUCGCUCAUCCAAUGAGUCUGCUUUGGCAAAUAUAUUCGGGAGCAUCAGAAUCGAAUACUUGAGGAACUACCUUAGCACCAGCCUGACUAAGAGAACAAUAGCAACUGACCAAUGGCUGGUAUCAUCAACAUGAUCUUGAGCCUUGAAGGUAGCAGGGGAU
Molecule: long non-coding RNA, 200 nt
Filed under: Elaeis guineensis (African oil palm)
Lineage: Eukaryota; Viridiplantae; Streptophyta; Magnoliopsida; Arecales; Arecaceae
Description: long non-coding RNA (EGUI_LNC004651)
Source: RNAcentral